Long non-coding RNA from Eriocheir sinensis (Chinese mitten crab), 290 nucleotides. RefSeq lists it as uncharacterized. NCBI's taxonomy places the organism in Eukaryota, Metazoa, Arthropoda, Malacostraca, Decapoda, Varunidae. The record is from RefSeq and is a predicted model, not a curated record. The transcript has 2 exons.
AGGUCACACAGCCAGCGUCCAUAACCUGACCCCUAAGAGUGGAUACCAGCUGUCUGGAGUGGAUACAGAAGUGGAUUCCUUACAGCAUCGGAACUCCCGUAAGAGGAGACGUAGGAAGCACGGCUGAGGAGGAGGAGGAGGAGGAAGGGUUAGAAGAGGCAUGGAUUAAAGAGAAAAUAAAGUAAAUAAGAAAAUGAGACGAAGGGAUUGAGAGAGAGAGAGAGAGAGAGAGAGAGAGAGAGAGAGAGAGAGAGAGAGAGAGAGAGAGAGAGAGAGAGAGAGAGAGAGAU